Molecule: non-coding RNA, 661 nt
Filed under: Atta colombica
Lineage: Eukaryota; Metazoa; Arthropoda; Insecta; Hymenoptera; Formicidae
Description: Bacterial large subunit ribosomal RNA
Rfam family: Bacterial large subunit ribosomal RNA
Source: Rfam by way of RNAcentral
UCAGCCUAAAAAGUAGAACGGUAUCAAACUGUUUAAAUAUUGGGGAACCUUCCUCAAAGGCUAAAUAUAAUACAUAAGCGAUAGUGAAAAGUACCAUGAGGGAACAAACAAAAAUAGUAGUUUUAUAAGCAGUUCGAGGGCGCAAGCUCUAGAACGUACCUUUUGCAUAAUGGGUCACCAAGUUAACAUUAGAUGCGAGCAUGACGCGCAGUUAAACCGAACGUUAAAAUAACGAAAAGUGUCUAAAGUUAGACCCGAAGCCAAGUGAUUUUACUAUAGUCAGGAUUAUAAAAGUCCGAACGGGUGAUUGUAGCAAAAAUCUCCGAAGAACUGUGGUAGGUGUAGUGAAAGACAACACUGACUUGGAUAGCUGGUUUUCUGCGAAACCUAUAAUAGUAGGCAAUUUAAGUGAAUAUCUUAGCAGGUACAGAAUUUAAUCUCAGACAAGGCGUUCUAUACGUUUUAUAUUGUACAAAUUGGGGGACCGUGAAGGUUCUAUCAGUGAGUAUGUAGACUCGGAAUGGCAAAGAUAUAUCUUAAAUCAUCAGACAUAGAAUGAUAAGGUUGAAAUACAGCCUUUUUGUAGAAGUGAACCUUCUGCUAUAAACCAUCAAAUUGCGGGAACGCCCUAAAGCAAUCAUAACCAAGUAAGAGUAGUAAU